This is a long non-coding RNA of Canis lupus familiaris (dog), 285 nucleotides long. RefSeq lists it as uncharacterized. NCBI's taxonomy places the organism in Eukaryota, Metazoa, Chordata, Mammalia, Carnivora, Canidae. The record is from RefSeq and is a predicted model, not a curated record. The transcript has 3 exons.
CCAUAAUCCUUAUUGCAUUUAGGAAACCUAGCCUGAUGGUAGUGCAGACCCUUCCCACUCUAAUUUCUGACCUACAGAGAAGAGUUACCACAAAGCUCUUCAAGGAUGCCAGAGUUCCUCUCACAGAUUUCUUAUAGUUGUGGUGAAAAGUGUGUUCUCUGGAUCCUCCAGGGCAGUAUUUAGUGAAACAUACAAGUGCCAAGGAAUUGGAAAUAGUAUGAUGAAUGGACUUCAACCUGGAUUAGGAAAUGUUUCCUGCUGUGCCCAUCAGAAGUUCAGUUUUGG